AGCGAACGCUGGCGGCAGGCUUAACACAUGCAAGUCGAGCGGGCGUAGCAAUACGUCAGCGGCAGACGGGUGAGUAACGCGUGGGAACGUACCUUUUGGUUCGGAACAACACAGGGAAACUUGUGCUAAUACCGGAUAAGCCCUUACGGGGAAAGAUUUAUCGCCGAAAGAUCGGCCCGCGUCUGAUUAGCUAGUUGGUGAGGUAACGGCUCACCAAGGCGACGAUCAGUAGCUGGUCUGAGAGGAUGAUCAGCCACAUUGGGACUGAGACACGGCCCAAACUCCUACGGGAGGCAGCAGUGGGGAAUAUUGGACAAUGGGCGCAAGCCUGAUCCAGCCAUGCCGCGUGAGUGAUGAAGGCCCUAGGGUUGUAAAGCUCUUUUGUGCGGGAAGAUAAUGACGGUACCGCAAGAAU
RNAcentral lists this ribosomal RNA (415 nucleotides) under bacterium Ellin5122. Its description in RNAcentral is "bacterial SSU rRNA". It matches the Rfam family "Bacterial small subunit ribosomal RNA", at positions 29 to 487 of the family's 1533-position model. The record is from RNAcentral. Lineage: Bacteria; Pseudomonadati; Pseudomonadota; Alphaproteobacteria; Hyphomicrobiales; Nitrobacteraceae. RNAcentral also lists the same sequence under 2 other names.